AAAGGGAUACUGCGCGGCCGGACACCGGCGCCAUGGAGGAGUAUGCUCAGGAACCUUGCCCAUGGCGAAUUGUGGAUGAUUGCGGUGGAGCCUUCACUAUGGGUGUUAUCGGCGGUGGAGUCUUCCAGGCCAUUAAGGGCUUCCGCAAUGCCCCUGUCGGAAUGCGGCACCGAUUGAGAGGCAGUGUCAAUGCUGUAAGGAUCAGAGCCCCUCAGAUUGGAGGUAGCUUCGCUGUGUGGGGGGGCCUAUUUUCCACCAUCGACCGCGGUCUGGUGCGGCUUUGGGGCAAGGAAGAUCCCUGGACUUCUAUCACCAGUGGAGCACUGACCGGGGCUGUGCUGGCUGCCCGCAGUGGCCCAUUGGCCAUGGUGGGCUCGGCAAUGAUGGGGGGCAUCCUGUUGGCCCUCAUUGAGGGUGUUGGCAUCCUUCUCACUCGCUAUACUGCCCAGCAGUUCUGCAAUGCGCCCCCAUUCCUGGAGGACCCUGGCCAGCUGACCUCUAAGGAGGGUACCCCAGGCCCAGGCUACCCCAGCUAUCAGCAGUACCACUGAGGAAGUGACCACCUGCCACUGCCACUGUGGGAGCUCCUCCUUGGUCCCCUCCCCGAUGAUCUACCUCGAAGGGAGGGCUGGCUCCCAGUUGGCCCAUGGGACCCUCGAGAGGGCCUCUAUCUGUUCCUUUAUCCCAGGUUGGGGGUGGGGCUCCCCAGCUGCCCUGAUGGAUGGGUCCCUUUUCUCUCAGAGCACCCCAACCCCCAUUCACAUGCUCUCACCCCAAUCCCUUUGCAUGGCACUCUGAUGAGUAUUUAAAGCCAGUUUUGAAAA
Capra hircus (goat) is the source of this 824-nucleotide RNA transcript. It is a transcript of the gene named mitochondrial import inner membrane translocase subunit Tim17-B pseudogene, with no coding region annotated. The record is from RefSeq and is a predicted model, not a curated record. The transcript has a single exon. Lineage: Eukaryota; Metazoa; Chordata; Mammalia; Artiodactyla; Bovidae.